Molecule: ribosomal RNA, 201 nt
Filed under: uncultured bacterium
Lineage: Bacteria
Description: partial 16S ribosomal RNA
Rfam family: Bacterial small subunit ribosomal RNA
Source: RNAcentral
ACGCUCGACACCUACGGAGGCAGCAGUGGGGAAUAUUGCACAAUGGGGGAAACCCUGAUGCAGCGACGCCGCGUGGAGGAAGAAGGUCUUCGGAUUGUAAACUCCUGUUGUUGGGGAAAAAGAGGAUGGUACCCAACAAGGAAGUGACGGCUAACUACGUGCCAGCAGCCGUGGUAAUCUGAGGCGGGCGUGGACGAAGGC